Molecule: ribosomal RNA, 942 nt
Filed under: Ustilago hordei
Lineage: Eukaryota; Fungi; Basidiomycota; Ustilaginomycetes; Ustilaginales; Ustilaginaceae
Description: LSU rRNA
Rfam family: Eukaryotic large subunit ribosomal RNA
Source: RNAcentral
GCUAUCAAUAAGCGGAGGAAAAGAACUAACAAGGAUUCCCCUAGUAACGGCGAGUGAAGAGGGAAGAGCCCAAGAUUGAAAGCUGGCGUCUUUGGCGUCCGCAUUGUAAUCUCAAGAAGUGUUUUCCGCUUCGGACCAUGCCUAAGUCCCUUGGAAAAGGGCAUCAUAGAGGGUGAUAAUCCCGUACAUGGCAUGGAGCGCCCGAAGCUUUGUGAUACACUUUCUAAGAGUCGAGUUGUUUGGGAAUGCAGCUCAAAAUGGGUGGUAAAUGCCAUCUAAGGCUAAAUAUUGGGGAGAGACCGAUAGCGAACAAGUACAGUGAUGGAAAGAUGAAAAGAACUUUGAAAAGAGAGUUAAACAGUACGUGAAAUUGCCAAAAGGGAAGGGUAGGAGGUCAGAGAUGCGGUCUGGGAUUCAGCCUUGCUUUUGCUGGGUGUUUUUCUCAGAUUGCAGGCCAACGUCGGUUUUGGGCGCUGGAGAAGGGUGGAAGGAAUGUGGCACCUCUCGGGGUGUGUUAUAGCCUUCUACUGGAUACAGUGACCGAGACCGAGGACAGCAGCGUACUCGCAAGAGCGGGCCUUCGGGCACCUUUACGCUUAGGGCGUUGGCAUAAUGGCCCUCUACCACCCGUCUUGAAACACGGACCAAGGAGUCUAACAUGUAUGCGAGUCUUUGGGUGGCAAACCCAUAGGCGCAAUGAAAGUGAAUUCAGGUGGGAUCCGCAAGGUGCACCAUCGACCGAUCCUCACGUCUUUUUAAGUCGUGGAUUUGAGUAAGAGCAUACCUGUUGGGACCCGAAAGAUGGUGAACUAUGCCUGAAUAGGGUGAAGCCAGAGGAAACUCUGGUGGAGGCUCGUAGCGGUUCUGACGUGCAAAUCGAUCGUCAAAUUUGGGUAUAGGGGCGAAAGACUAAUCGAACCAUCUAGUAGCUGGUUCCUGCGA